This 894-nucleotide ribosomal RNA is filed under the name uncultured bacterium. RNAcentral describes it as "bacterial SSU rRNA". It matches the Rfam family "Bacterial small subunit ribosomal RNA", at positions 8 to 916 of the family's 1533-position model. The record is from RNAcentral.
AGAGUUUGAUCCUGGCUCAGGAUGAACGCUAGCGAUAGGCUUAACACAUGCAAGUCGAGGGGCAUCACGAGGUAGCAAUACUUUGGUGGCGACCGGCGUACGGGUGCGUAACACGUAUGCAACCUUCCUGUAAGUGUGGGAUAGCCUCGGGAAACCGGGAUUAAUACCUCAUAACACCGUUUGUUCGCAUGGACGAACGGUCAAAGAUUUACCGGUAUGGGAUGGGCCUGCGUCUGAUUAGCUGGUUGGUGGGGUAACGGCCUACCAAGGCGACGAUCAGUAGCCGACCUGAGAGGGUGAUCGGCCACAUUGGAACUGAGACACGGUCCAAACUCCUACGGGAGGCAGCAGUGGGGAAUAUUGCACAAUGGGCGAAAGCCUGAUGCAGCAACGCCGCGUGAGCGAAGAAGGCCUUUGGGUUGUAAAGCUCUGUCGGGUAGGAAGAUAAUGACGGUACUACCCGAGGAAGCCCCGGCUAACUACGUGCCAGCAGCCGCGGUAAUACGUAGGGGGCGAGCGUUAUCCGGAAUUACUGGGUGUAAAGGGUGCGUAGGUGGCUGCUUAAGCGUGAGGUGAAAGGCAAUGGCUUAACCAUUGUGAGCCUCGCGAACUGGGUGGCUUGAGUGCAGGAGAGGAAAGCGGAAUUCCUAGUGUAGCGGUGAAAUGCGUAGAUAUUAGGAGGAACACCAGUGGCGAAGGCGGCUUUCUGGACUGCAACUGACACUGAGGCACGAAAGCGUGGGGAGCAAACAGGAUUAGAUACCCUGGUAGUCCACGCCGUAAACGAUGAGCACUAGGUGUCGGGGUCGCAAGACUUCGGUGCCGCAGUUAACGCAUUAAGUGCUCCGCCUGGGGAGUACGCACGCAAGUGUGAAACUCAAAUGAAUUUGACGG